CGAAAGCCUGACGGAGCAAUACCGCGUGAGGGAUGAAUGCCUAUGGGUUGUAAACCUCUUUUUUCAGGGAGGAAUAAAUGACGUGUACCUGAAGAAUAAGCAUCGGCUAACUCCGUGCCAGCAGCCGCGGUAAGACGGAGGAUGCAAGUGUUAUCCGGAAUCACUGGGCGUAAAGCGUCUGUAGGUGGUUUAAUAAGUCAACUGUUAAAUCUUGAGGCUUAACCUCAAAAUCGCAGUCGAAACUAUUAGACUAGAGUAUAGUAGGGGUAAAGGGAAUUUCCAGUGGAGCGGUGAAAUGCGUAGAUAUUGGAAAGAACACCGAUGGCGAAGGCACUUUACUGGGCUAUUACUGACACUCAGAGACGAAAGCUAGGGUAGCAAAUG
RNAcentral lists this ribosomal RNA (384 nucleotides) under uncultured bacterium. Its description in RNAcentral is "bacterial SSU rRNA". It matches the Rfam family "Bacterial small subunit ribosomal RNA", at positions 376 to 774 of the family's 1533-position model. The record is from RNAcentral.